This is a non-coding RNA of Phalacrocorax carbo (great cormorant), 3856 nucleotides long. The record is from RefSeq and is a predicted model, not a curated record. NCBI's taxonomy places the organism in Eukaryota, Metazoa, Chordata, Aves, Suliformes, Phalacrocoracidae.
GAAAUUAUUAUCAACAAUAAUACAUUCUUGUAAGUGUUUGCCAACCCCACGUCUUAGCCAGUGCAUUUUACUUGGAGCUUACAACAUAAAUCUCUUUAUUUUUCAAAAUGCCUGCUGUAACAGCCCUCUUUCCUCCGGUAUUUGCUGAGCACGGGAGAGUCACUGUCUAUCCUGUCCCCAGCCUGGCUGAGCCAGGAAGGUUAUUAACCCUUUAGCAUGAUCUCCAGGGUGAAGGUCAGUGGCAGCCUGCUCAGCAUCUACAGAGUCAGAGUGUGCUCUCCCAGAUAAAUAACGAAUAAAGCUCUAGACAGCUUCAUCGGGAGGACAUGCCACCCAUUUGAUAUAUAAGAGACGACAGACAACCCCAUCAGACUUCGCGAUGAAACUCACAAAGAGCUGAAGUUGCAGGGAUGCAAAGGCUUACCAGGCUGCUCCGAUGACUGAAAAUUUAGUCACCAAGUUCCACUACCGAAUGGGGGUCACUGCUGCUAAAAGCAAAUUCAUAAAUGCACAGUGGAACUCAGCACUUUCCUUGCAAGCCAGAGCCGGGAUCCUGGCGGUGGCUGUAUUAGCUGGCGCUGGGAAACUAUUUUUAGACCUUCAGCUAUUUAGGUAAUUGAAGCUUUUCCCACUUUCAGCUAACGCACUCUCUGUUGUGUAACUCUGCUGGUGACCAGCUUGGUGCAAGGGACAGAGCCACAGGAGGCCCUGCAGCGCGCGUGGAGAGAGAGAGAAAGAGCUGCUCUCAAGUUUGGGGAUUUAGUGGCCGUCAAAACAAAGAAUUAUAGUAAAUGCAUGUGGAGGUGGAGGAUUUGUCAAGUAAGUCUGAAAGAGCUGGAACACUGGAUGAUGUUUACUUACACGGCUGAAAAUGCGUUAGUGUUAUUAAUUUUCUUCAUAGUGCUACCAGCACACUCAGUGCUGCUAACCCAGGAGUACAUGAGCAUCUGGAGAGGACCACUUCGGUCUCUGAGGGUGAAUGGCAUCAUUUCAGCAAGCCGUCACCUCUGAGAAAAGGCCAGGUCGAAAACAGGAGCUGGAUUCUCACCAGGUCCAACGUUUCCCUACUGCUUUAACCUUGCUGGCCUUCAAAUCUCCAGUUUGAAUGCUAGGCACGUGUAGGAGACGUCAGGUAGGCCUGAAGUGCUUCGCGCCUAAACCCAGAAUCCAGCCCUCCUCUCUACAACUGGCCCCAGGAGCGUAAUCCAGCAGGCACCUAACAAUAUAAGGCUGCUUAGAAAAUGUGAGAUCUUUAAGGGUUUUUGCUAAGUGCAUUAAGUACCAUGGACAUGCUACGCACACGUUCCGUUCUGUCAUCGGCAUAGCCGUUAACCCCCAUAGUGUCCCUUCACACAUCUUCAUGCACAGUCUCACCAAACUCUGAUCUCUCUUUCUCACAAACAUAAAACAUUUGAGCAGAGCAGAACGUUGAGUCAUAAAGGUUGCUUCAGAAAAUUGAAAUGGUUUAGCAACCUCAGUAGCGUAGUUAGUUUUUCUCUUGAAAGCUUAAAUAACUCACUUGAAAUAAAGGAAAGUACAUUGGUUGACAUAAUACUUCCUCUAGCAGCUUAUAUCCAAACCAGUAAUUUUUCUGUGUGGUAUUUGGGGUUGUGGAAUGUGUGGAAGACAAAGCUCACGUUUCUUAUAAUUUCUCUGUGGUUAUUAAUGAAAAUGAUAAUUAAAAUUACAUAGCGUAUUCACCUAUCUUAUCCCCAAAAAUAACUUGGCCAAAAAUUUACUAAAUCAGUAUCCAAAGGCUUUAGUAUUCCAGAGAGACAUGGAUAGCAAUUUAAUAAUUGAAGGAGAAAUAACAUUUUUUUUCAGUGAUUUGAGAGGCGGUUUUAAUUAGAUGCAUUCUUAAUGGAGUUUUCAGUAUGUUCCAGGCAAAAAGGUUCUCUUACAAUAUUUGGUUUACACCAUCUAGCUCUCCAGCUUCAAAGUAAAAGCCAAAAAAUACGAACUAAAAUAUGUAACUUGUUCCCUGCAAAACAAAUUCAAGCCUGUCAUGGUGCUGGCCUGUACAAAUCUGUCUUCACUUAAAAAGAAGUAGAAUAUGGCUUUCAAAAAAAACUUUGCCCAAAGAAUUAAUCACAAAUACAAUUCUUGAUGUAAGGGAUAGAGGGGUUUUCAAACGUUUUUAAGUCCCCAGAGCAGAAAACUAGAUGCUUAUCCUUCCUUUUGCUCCAAAUCAGGCUCUCACUCCCUCUGAAACUUUAAUUACAGUACUGGUGUGGUAAGUCAGGGAGUGACAUUUCAGCUCUGCUGGACACAAAUCCAGAAAUGAUGGUGUUAAUAGUGGUAAGUUUAGCUAGUGCUGAGUUUUAGGAUCCCUCCUAUACUCUGUAAGUGCGCAAAUAUGACUUACCAGAUGGUCUAUAUGUACGUAAUAAGUGUGAAUUCAGGUGCACGAGAUCCUACCUGUAGCAAGGAAACCAUUCCUCUGUAGUAUAAACUCACAGUUACUAUAAGGCUUGCCCAGGAAAUUAAUUUUUGUCUGUAGAGAGGAGUACAGUUGUAAUGCUGGAUUCAAAAACUGAUCAUUUUUUAAAUGAGGACAUAUAAGAAUCUGGGUACAGUAAGAUGUUUUUCCUGAUCUCUAUUGUUUCUUUUACUUCAGUAAUAUCCUUCUGAGAAGCACGUCCUUCUAUUUGGGAAAAAAGCGUAGAAUGCCUACCCAAAUUCUAUGUUUUUCGGAAAAAGAAACAGCCAGACCUCUCUAGCAUAGCCCUGGAUGGACAGAAAUGCCUUAGCAGACCGUGUGGUUUUAGCUGUGAGGUUUAGAGCACAGAUUUUGUCAUUCAGUGCUUUCCACUUCUAUACAUCUUGGGAAGAAAGUGGAAAGGAGCAAUACUGCGUCCUACAGAAGAUGACUUGAAGAAAUGUAAAUCAUGAGACAACUCUCUUGCAAGAUCAUUUGUUAUACUAGUAGUGCCAAAAUAUUGUUACUGUCUAAAGAACUUCUGAAUAAAGAAAGUCUUGUAGAAGAUCUCCUUUAAAAAGUACAAAUGAAACUGCAAAUUAUGUAGAUUCAUGACACCUUGUAAACUGGUGUGUUUCUGAGCUGAAACAAUGAAAAUACAAAAAUACUCCGUAAAACUGGCAAAUUAUCACUUUGCUAUUUUAGAAGAAAACAUGCAGAUCCUUAGAUAUAAUUAUUUUAAUUCAAUAUUUGCCUUCAUUGGAAAACAAUAACAAAGAUCAAACUUUAACACAAAAUUUUUGGGUUUUGACUCAGUACCGAAACGCAAGAACUCUCUCAGCGCAAUCUGGCUUUUCUCUUUUUUCUCUUUUUUUAGGGGCUUCAGUGCAGUUCACAGUAGAUGAGCAUCCCUUUUCUGCAAAGCCACCCUGCAGGCACUCGGAGCUUGCCCUGCAGGCAGUGAGCGGGGAAGGACUGUUAGAUCUGCCACAGCUUUAGGGCAGGAAACCUCCGUUGUGCUGCCCCAGCUGCGGAGUGAUGCCCCCGUGGGCUUUAUGACGGGUGGGCUGGUGAGGGCUAACAGAGCUGCGGCCGGAUCCCUUCCUCUAUUGCUUUUUCAUGGGAAAAAGGUAGUUUGUUUCUACUGCACAGGCUUGCCUUCUGGCCCUCCCCCUGUGCCAACACAUCGCACGUGGGCUGUCACAAGGCUCCGGGAAGGAGGGGAGAGCAAGAGGGCAACUUCUUGUUAGAGCACCCUGAGGCAACACUUGUGCAACUGUUGCCUCGCUCGUAUUUUCCAUGAGCUACCAAGACAUGUCUGUUGCCUUUGUUGUUUGUUUUGGGUUUUAUUUUUUUCUUUUUUUCUCUAUGUAGCUAUUUUAUAACACAGGUCACGUGAGUCCAAAAAACAACAAUAAAAUAUGUAGUUUCCCAGUA